AGUGAACGCUGGCGGUAGGCCUAACACAUGCAAGUCGAACGGCAGCACAGUAAGAGCUUGCUCUUACGGGUGGCGAGUGGCGGACGGGUGAGGAAUACAUCGGAAUCUACUUUUUCGUGGGGGUUAACGUAGGGAAACUUACGCUAAUACCGCAUACGACCUACGGGUGAAAGCAUGGGAUCUUCGGACCUUGCGCGAUUGAAUGAGCCGAUGUCGGAUUAGCUAGUUGGCGGGGUAAAGGCCCACCAAGGCGACGAUCCGUAGCUGGUCUGAGAGGAUGAUCAGCCAAACUGGAACUGAGACACGGUCCAGGCGACUACGGGAGGCAGCAGUGGGGAAUAUUGGACAAUGGGCGAAAGCCUGAUCCAGCCAUACCGCGUGGGUGAAGAAGGCCUUCGGGUUGUAAAGCCCUUUUGUUGGGAAAGAAAAGCAGCAGGUUAAUACCCCGCUGUUCUGACGGUACCCAAAGAAUAAGCACCGGCUAACUUCGUG
This 492-nucleotide ribosomal RNA is filed under the name uncultured bacterium. RNAcentral's name for it is "partial 16S ribosomal RNA". It matches the Rfam family "Bacterial small subunit ribosomal RNA", at positions 29 to 507 of the family's 1533-position model. The record is from RNAcentral.